This is a long non-coding RNA of Bombus huntii, 2223 nucleotides long. RefSeq lists it as uncharacterized. The transcript has 3 exons. Lineage: Eukaryota; Metazoa; Arthropoda; Insecta; Hymenoptera; Apidae. The record is from RefSeq and is a predicted model, not a curated record.
CAAAAUGGAAUAGAAAGAUUAUAUCACAGACGAAAUUAUACUUUACACUUUAUUAUACUUUAUACUUUAUUAUACUGUAUACUUUAUUAUACUUUAUACUUUAUUAUUACAUUACAUCAAUUGACAUCUUUGGAAUUACAACGAUUCGAUACACAUUUUAACGUUUUAAACGUUUUAACGUUUAACAUUCUAACAUUCAGUUAGAACUUUGUAUUGAUUAGAGAUAUUGUAACGACCAGAAAUAUCGAUACAUAUAUCAAUACUUUUACCUCGAAAUUCGUAGAUUCGUACUCUUCAUUGUCCAUACAAAUUGUGUCAUAUAUGUCCAAACCAAAUUUAUUUUACGUGCAUUAACGUUUUCAAAUCCAUUUUUUAUUUUCAAAGAACAUCAUAUUUGUACUCGGUAUUGCCAGUAAGUAUCAUGAAGAGACGAAACGAGUAUCUCGAGUUAAGUAUUGUUUAAAAUAGUAUAUAGACAUCUAGAUAUAACAUUCAAUGAUUUUUCCCUCACUUAUUGUAAAUUAUUGAUAUUGUAAAAUUAUAAUUGUAAAAUUAUAUAGUAAAUGAUAUUGUAAAAUUAUAUAGUAAAUGAUAUUGUAAAAUUAAAUAGUAAAUUCACACGAUGUUCAAAUAAUUCGAAAUAACGAUAGACCAAAAGCUGUUUAAACGAGACACAAGAAUUAAUCGUGCAUUUUAUUAAAAAGUUAAGUACGAAUAAAAGAAAGAAAAAUUUCGAACUUUUUUCGAAAGAACAUACAUUUAUUAUACAACAUACAUACAUUUAUUAUAUAUUGUGUUCUUUCAAACACAAUAAUACCUUCCAUAAAGGAGCACAGCCCAGAUGAGACUUUUUAUAGUUAAACUUUUAACGUACUCAUAGAAACGAAAUUUUUUUUUUUUAAAUAGAACUGUUACAUUUUACGACACGUAUAACAUCGAACAUUUACCAACAUAGCGAUGCCAGCGUACAUAUAUAUAUACUGGUGUACUGGUCAUCUUUUUUCCACACGUUUUUAGCUUUUUAGCUGUUUGUGAAUGGGCGCCUAAUCAGCCAAUCAGAAAUGGCCGGUAUUCUAUGAAUCCUUUUUUUCAAUGCUCGAAGAGCUGGAUAUUUAUCCAAAGCUGGUGCCCCAAACAUAUACUCGUAAUUUUCAAGGGCCGCUGCAAAUACGAAGUCCGCCCAUGUCGUCUGAAAAAAGGAUUCUCCUCCAUGCGAUAGUAGCAGAUAUCUGAAACGUAUAUGAAACCAACCGUUACGUUCAUUUGUGUUUUUCCCCCCAAACGAAGAGAAAAUAAGGUGUGAAAGAAGGAGUAGCCUCUCAUAGUUCCUACAAUUUCUUCAUUCUCUUUGCUUUCUUCAAUAUUGCCUCAACAAGUUCCUGUGGUUCACGAUAUUUGAAAUAUAUACAAUGUUACCAGCGUGGAAAUUGUCUUGGAAACUUGGAAAAUCUUUCAAGAGGAACAACAUUGCUAACUGAGAUUCGAGAAAGGAAAUUACCAAGAAUGUCGAGAUAUAAACAACCAUUUGUGGAAAGGUCAGGAGAAGCAGAAUUAUCGAAUAAACGUUAUAUAACUCUUAGUGAUUAAGUAAGAGAAGAGAAACGAGAAAAAAGUCUUUUAUCUAGGUCUUAAUAAAGUAUACUAUAUUUAUCUCCAUAUCAAGAAUAACAACAAGAUAUAAACAGUCUUCUAGAAAUUGAGUAAAUAUUACAUAAUUACAUCUUGAGCAAUAUUUUGCGUCUUAGCUUUUGCUUAAUCAUUAUGAUAAUCUUAAAUAUCUGUAAAUUCUUCACAGACUCUUUGCAUCUUCUAUACAGGUAUCUCAUGAUCAUGUGAUAACACACAGGAAGAAAAAAUAGAGGAAAAAACAGCGUAAAAAAAAGUUGCGUAGGAGUAUCGUCGCACUACAUCAUUCGACAAUUGAUGCACGUCAUGGCGAUCGUCACGGUUUAAAGCAGGCCAUCAAAAACACGUUUGUUAUCGUACGGAAAAAUCUGCGACGUUCCAGCUGUUCAGGUGCAUCGAAUUGUGAAUCAUCGGCGGUACGAAGCAAGGCGAGGGGCGUAAAUAGAGAAAGAAGAGAAGAGAAGGAUUCGCAUAAAUGAUAAAAUAUAAUCGUUCGUUCCUCGUCGAUGGCGGAUGGAUGGCUUUAAUCGUGGACGAUAUCGAUACGAUUAUAUUUUAUACAUUUGAAACAAAUAUAAAAGACGAGCAAAAACCAGA